RNAcentral lists this ribosomal RNA (481 nucleotides) under uncultured bacterium. Its description in RNAcentral is "partial 16S ribosomal RNA". It matches the Rfam family "Bacterial small subunit ribosomal RNA", at positions 28 to 507 of the family's 1533-position model. The record is from RNAcentral.
GAUGAACGCUGGCGGCGUGCUUAACACAUGCAAGUCGAACGAAGCAUUUGCGACAGAUUUUUUCGGAAUGAAGUUGCUUAUGACUGAGUGGCGGACGGGUGAGUAACGCGUGGGUAACCUGCCUUGUACUGGGGGAUAGCAGCUGGAAACGGCUGGUAAUACCGCAUAAGCGCACAAUGUUGCAUGACAUGGUGUGAAAAACUCCGGUGGUAUAAGAUGGACCCGCGUCUGAUUAGCUAGUUGGUGAGAUAACAGCCCACCAAGGCGACGAUCAGUAGCCGACCUGAGAGGGUGACCGGCCACAUUGGGACUGAGACACGGCCCAGACUCCUACGGGAGGCAGCAGUGGGGAAUAUUGCACAAUGGAGGAAACUCUGAUGCAGCGACGCCGCGUGAGUGAAGAAGUAAUUCGUUAUGUAAAGCUCUAUCAGCAGGGAAGAUAGUAACGGUACCUGGCGAAGAAGCUCCGGCUAAAUACGUG